CCUGGUCAGGAUAAGCUGGCGGCGUGCAUAACACAUGCAAGUCGAACGAUGAAGCUUAGAUGAUUUCUUCGGAAUGAACUUAAGUGGAUUAGUGGCGAACGGGUGAGUAACACGUGAGUAACCUGCCUUACACAAGGGGAUAGCCUCUGGAAACGGAGAAUAAUACCCUAUAAAGUCUAAUCAGCCCAUGCUGGAAAGACCAAAGAUUUAUCGGUGUAAGAUGGACUUGCGUCUGAUUGGCUAGUUGGUGAGAUAAAAGCUCACCAAGGCGACGAUCAGUAGCCGGCUUGAGAGAGUGUACGGCCACAUUGGGACUGAGACACGGCCCAAACUCCUACGGGAGGCAGCAGUGGGGAAUUUUGCACAAUGGGGGAAACCCUGAUGCAGCGACGCCGCGUGAUUUAGAAGGCCUUCGGGUUGUAAAAAUCUUUUUUACGGGAUGAAAAUGACAGUACCGUAAGAAUAAGGUCCGGCUAAAUACGUGCCAGCAGCCGCGGUAAUACGUACGGACCGAGCGUUCGUCCGGAAUCAUUGGGCGUAAAGGGUACGUACGGCGGCCUAUACAGUUAGAAGUUAAAGAAUAUAGCUCACUAUAUACCAGCUUUUCAAAACUGCUAGGCUUGAGAGAUGGAGGGAAAGUGGAACUUCCUAGUGUACGGUGCAACAUGCGCAGCAUAUUNAGAGGACUCACCGGUGGCGAAGGCGACUUUCUGGCCAUUAUCUGACGCUGCAGGUACGAACAGCCGU
This 747-nucleotide ribosomal RNA is filed under the name uncultured Clostridia bacterium. Its description in RNAcentral is "bacterial SSU rRNA". It matches the Rfam family "Bacterial small subunit ribosomal RNA", at positions 19 to 764 of the family's 1533-position model. Lineage: Bacteria; Bacillati; Bacillota; Clostridia. The record is from RNAcentral.